UACGUAGGGGGGCUAGCGUUGUCCGGAAUCAUUGGGCGUAAAGCGCGUGUAGGCGGUCCGGUAAGUCCGCUGUGAAAGUCGGGGGCUCAACCCUCGGAUGCCGGUGGAUACUGUCGGGCUCGAGUACGGAAGAGGCGAGUGGAAUUCCUGGUGUAGCGGUGAAAUGCGCAGAUAUCAGGAGGAACACCUAUUGCGAAGGCAGCUCGCUGGGACGUAACUGACGCUGAGACGCGAAAGCGUGGGGAGCAAACAGG
This 254-nucleotide ribosomal RNA is filed under the name uncultured bacterium. RNAcentral describes it as "partial 16S ribosomal RNA". It matches the Rfam family "Bacterial small subunit ribosomal RNA", at positions 524 to 776 of the family's 1533-position model. The record is from RNAcentral.